UGGGGAAUAUUGCGCAAUGGGGGAAACCCUGACGCAGCGACGCCGCGUGCGGGAUGAAGGCCUUCGGGUUGUAAACCGCUUUUGAUUGGGAGCAAGCCUUUUGGGUGAGUGUACCUUUCGAAUAAGCGCCGGCUAACUACGUGCCAGCAGCCGCGGUAAUACGUAGGGCGCAAGCGUUAUCCGGAGUUAUUGGGCGUAAAGAGCUUGUAGGCGGUUCGUCGCGUCUGGUGUGAAAGCCCAUCGCUUAACGGUGGGUUUGCGCCGGGUACGGGCGGGCUAGAGUGCAGUAGGGGAGACUGGAAUUCCCGGUGUAACGAUGGAAUGUGUAGAUAUCGGGAAGAACACCAAUGGCGAAGGCAGGUCUCUGGGCUGUUACUGACGCUGAGAAGCGAAAGCGUGGGGAGCGAACAGG
This 412-nucleotide ribosomal RNA is filed under the name Verrucomicrobiota bacterium. RNAcentral describes it as "Verrucomicrobia bacterium partial 16S ribosomal RNA". It matches the Rfam family "Bacterial small subunit ribosomal RNA", at positions 355 to 776 of the family's 1533-position model. The record is from RNAcentral. Lineage: Bacteria; Pseudomonadati; Verrucomicrobiota.